This 500-nucleotide unclassified non-coding RNA is filed under the name Hevea brasiliensis (rubber tree). Lineage: Eukaryota; Viridiplantae; Streptophyta; Magnoliopsida; Malpighiales; Euphorbiaceae. The record is from RNAcentral.
GGGCAAGAUUUAAAAACAGAAAGACUGGUUUAGAAGGAAAGAGAACAUAACAGGACAUAGCAAAACAGAGUUGUUAAAAAGAGCAGAUUGAUUACCUACAAAGUAUUGGAGCUUUUCCCCCUACUUUCUAUAUCCGUUUUGGCUUGUGGGUUGCUGACAUUGAUCCAUUAAUUCAGCGAAAAGGGUGGACUCAAGAAGGGGAAAAAAAGUGUGGAAGAGAGAGGAGUGGUUUAAAGUAGAAUUGCGGAGCUUGCUUUGUGCAAAUUGAGGAGGUGGGUGAGGGUAGUAGGUGAGAAUCAAGAGAGGAGAAGAUGUAGAAGAACAGCAGGAUGGCAAUGAUGAUUUUGUAGUUGUUCUUUUUGUAAUUUUCACAUGCUUCUCUUUCUAUGAGGGGUGGGUAGGGGAUUGGGAUUUUUGGAAGGCUUGGCUUGGCUUUACUUGACAUUGCAUCUUCCACUUCCAAUGACUUAAAUUGCUCCACUGAGGUAAUUGGAGGUCCC